GUUACUGUCAAGCACGAUUGAGAGGCGGUGUUUGCUCAGUGCAGGACUUUGUGGGCUUGCCAACCGACUUAAACUUAGACGGUGGCCUACGAGGACAAGAAGCUCAUGUGAUGCAUGCACUUUGGAGCCUGCGUGUGUGCAGCACCUGAGCUGUGAGAUAAGCCGAGUGGAUCAUGUUGAGCUUUUAUCCAGGUGAAGGUAUUACAACAAGACAUGUGAGUGAUGCUGAAAAACAAAGGAACACAGGGGUCCAGUAAUGAGAAGAUAUGUGUCUUUAAAAGUAGAAAAAGAUUGUGAAAUCUGAAUUUGCUGCCUGAGAAACAAUACGAAUUAAAAUGCAACACUCUCACAUGG
Notolabrus celidotus (New Zealand spotty) is the source of this 354-nucleotide long non-coding RNA. RefSeq lists it as uncharacterized. The transcript is spliced from 3 exons. The record is from RefSeq and is a predicted model, not a curated record. NCBI's taxonomy places the organism in Eukaryota, Metazoa, Chordata, Actinopteri, Labriformes, Labridae.